GUGAACUGAACUGCUGAUUUCCAAGUGGGAGUUGCUCCAAAGAACCUUUCUAAACAGCCUAGGAGAAGUCUUCCCCACUACAGCAUGCAGAGAGAGGUACCCUCGUUCUCUGCUACAUAAACAGAUGUGGAUGAGGCACAGACAGUCCUGGUCCAGCGAGCACUUCCUCCUCGAAACUCAGCCAGGAUGAAACCGGAUGCCCUGUGGUUGGGGUGGGUGGAGAGUCAUCUGCUGAAGAUGGAGGGACCAUGUAAUGUGGAAAUAACAGUAGCAAACAGAUACUGUACCACACAGAUAGAAGUGCUGGUGGCGGCAAAGUUCUGAAAGUGACACAGAGGAUGGACUGCAGGCAGAAGCUCCGGUUGAGGAAGAUGGAGGAAAGCCAUUUACCAGCUCGACAGCCUUCAGCUAGGGAAAAGGCUCUGUGAGCAUCGUUAAGAAGUGCUUACCAUCCAGCGGUCACGAUGCAUCCAACAAGAGUGAGCGCUAAUGGCCUGGGAACAAAGAGGCAAAUUACUGAGGUCUACUAAAAUGUUUCUCCACUUAUCUUCAAUUAUUCAGACCCAACCCAAUUUCCUUCUAAAUUAAAUGCUGCGGCUUGAGUUAA
Molecule: long non-coding RNA, 607 nt
Filed under: Mus musculus (house mouse)
Lineage: Eukaryota; Metazoa; Chordata; Mammalia; Rodentia; Muridae
Description: predicted gene, 47918
Source: RNAcentral